Molecule: small RNA, 588 nt
Filed under: Pongo abelii (Sumatran orangutan)
Lineage: Eukaryota; Metazoa; Chordata; Mammalia; Primates; Hominidae
Description: processed transcript
Source: RNAcentral
AGUUUCUUUCAAGGCCAAAGGCUACCUAUUAGCUACAUAAAGUAUCUUUCUCUCCACCUCUUAUUUCCUACAGGUGACCCCAAAGGAGCCAUGAUAACCCAUCAAAAUAUUGUUUCAAAUGCUGCUGCCUUUCUCAAAUGUGUGGAGGAUACUUAUGAGCCCACUCCCGAUGAUGUGGCCAUAUCCUACCUCCCUCUGGCUCAUAUGUUUGAGAGGAUUGUACAGGCUGUUGUGUACAGCUGUGGAGCCAGAAUUGGAUUCUUCCAAGGGGAUAUUCGGUUGCUGGCUGAUGACAUGAAGACUUUGAAGCCCACAUUGUUUCCGGCGGUGCCUCGACUCCUUAACAGGAUCUACGAUAAGGUACAAAAUGAAGCCAAGACACCCUUGAAGAAGUUCUUGUUGAAGUUGGCUGUUUCCAGUAAAUUCAAAGAGCUUCAAAAGGGCAUCAUCAGGCGUGACAGUUUCUGGGACAAGCUCAUCUUUGCAAAGAUCCAGGACAGCCUGGGUGGAAGGGUUCGUGUAAUCGUCACUGGAGCUGCCCCCAUCUCCGCUCCAGUCAUGACAUUCUUACGGGCAGCAAUGGGAUGU